UUUUUUUUUUGAAUUUAAUAUAUUUAUUUUUGGGUAAAAUUUAAAUUUUUAUUAAUUUUUAUUUGAUUCUUUGAAGUGUAUAAUAUAAACUAGGAUUAGAUACCCUAUUAUAAUAUAUUUAAAUUUUUGACCUGGGUAGUAUUAGUUAUGUUCUUUAAACCUAAAGAAUUUGGCGGUGUUUUAGUCUAUUUAGAGGAAUUUGCUCCUUAAUCGAUAGUCCUCGAUUUAUCUUACUUGUAUUUGUUUUCAGUAUGUAUACCGCCGUUAUCAGUUUAUUUUAUUAGAAUAAGAA
Molecule: ribosomal RNA, 292 nt
Filed under: Candovia aberrata
Lineage: Eukaryota; Metazoa; Arthropoda; Insecta; Phasmatodea; Lonchodidae
Description: partial small subunit ribosomal RNA
Source: RNAcentral